AUACGGAGGGUGCAAGCGUUAAUCGGAAUUACUGGGCGUAAAGCGCGCGUAGGCGGAUUGGUAAGUUGGGUGUGAAAGCCCCGGGCUCAACCUGGGAAUUGCAUUCAAUACUGCCUGACUAGAGUAUGGUAGAGGGAAGCGGAAUUCCGGGUGUAGCGGUGAAAUGCGUAGAGAUCCGGAGGAACACCAGUGGCGAAGGCGGCUUCCUGGGCCAAUACUGACGCUGAGGUGCGAAAGCGUGGGGAACAAACAGGAUUAGAAACCCCAGUAGUCC
RNAcentral lists this ribosomal RNA (274 nucleotides) under uncultured bacterium. Its description in RNAcentral is "partial 16S ribosomal RNA". It matches the Rfam family "Bacterial small subunit ribosomal RNA", at positions 523 to 796 of the family's 1533-position model. The record is from RNAcentral.